This 63-nucleotide microRNA precursor is filed under the name Drosophila melanogaster (fruit fly). RNAcentral describes it as "microRNA dme-mir-9385 precursor". Lineage: Eukaryota; Metazoa; Arthropoda; Insecta; Diptera; Drosophilidae. The record is from miRBase by way of RNAcentral.
ACAGUGUAUGCAAAUGAUGAAUGUGCCAUAUCAGAAACUAUUCCUCAUUGCUAUACCUGUGGU